GAUGAACGCUGGCGGCGUGCUUAACACAUGCAAGUCGAACGGAGAGCUAUUGACGGAGUUUUCGGACAACUGAAAUAGUUUCUUAGUGGCGGACGGGUGAGUAACGCGUGAGGAACCUGCCUUUGAGAGGGGAAGUAACACAGAGAAAUUUAGUUGCUAAUACCGCAUAAAAGACAGUUGGGUCGGCAUGGCUCUGACUGCCAAAGAAUUUUAUUCGCUCUUAGAUGGCCUCGCGUCUGAUUAGCUAGUUGGUUGAGGUAACGGCCCACCCAAGGCGACGAUCAGUAGCCGGACUGAGAGGUUGACCGGCCACAUUGGGACUGAGACACGGCCC
Molecule: ribosomal RNA, 334 nt
Filed under: uncultured bacterium
Lineage: Bacteria
Description: bacterial SSU rRNA
Rfam family: Bacterial small subunit ribosomal RNA
Source: RNAcentral